CUGCACACAGUGCUGCAAGUGGGGUCUCAUGAGAGCAGAGUAGAGGGGCAGGACCACCUCCUUCGACCUUCUGGUCAUGGUCCUUUUGAAGCAGCCCGGGAUAUGUUUGGCCUUCUGGGCCGCGAGCACAUACUGCAGGCUCAUUUCAUUUG
Strigops habroptila (Kakapo) is the source of this 152-nucleotide long non-coding RNA. RefSeq lists it as uncharacterized. The record is from RefSeq and is a predicted model, not a curated record. NCBI's taxonomy places the organism in Eukaryota, Metazoa, Chordata, Aves, Psittaciformes, Psittacidae. The transcript has 3 exons.